This 147-nucleotide unclassified non-coding RNA is filed under the name uncultured Ascomycota. RNAcentral's name for it is "sequence contains ITS2". The record is from RNAcentral. Lineage: Eukaryota; Fungi; Ascomycota.
CAACACUCAAGCUCUGCUUGGUAUUGGAUGCUACCUUGCAAAUGUGGUGCAUCUCAAAAUCAGUGGUGGUGCCAUUUAGCCUCAAGCGUAGUAAAAUUUCUCGCUUUGGAGGUCUUGAUGUGUACCUGCCAGCAACUAAUUUUUAAU